UUCAGUUCAAUUAAUAUUCAUUUCACUCCUAAAUACUGGGAAGUAUGUUUUUUAAGUAAUCAAGAAAAAAUCCUUAAACUGUUUUGAGUUCAUUAAGUAAAGCAUAUGCUUUUCUUACAUUGUAUAUAAUUUGUAUUCUCCUGGUGAGUAUUCGCAAGCAUGUUAUUCCAUCGGAUUAUUGCUACAAUGUUGCUGCUGACUUUCUGACUUACUUCCUUCAGAGGUAAAAACAAAAACCCCAUGUAUGGAUGAGAGUCAGCUGGUAUAGCAACAAAGUUGCCCCCACAGAGACACAUUUA
Molecule: long non-coding RNA, 299 nt
Filed under: Bos taurus (domestic cattle)
Lineage: Eukaryota; Metazoa; Chordata; Mammalia; Artiodactyla; Bovidae
Description: long non-coding RNA NONBTAT019427
Source: RNAcentral